ACGGCCGUCAAUAACUCUUUGUUUUUUUGUUGUUUUUUUA
RNAcentral lists this small RNA (40 nucleotides) under Arabidopsis thaliana (thale cress). RNAcentral describes it as "ATSL103730". The record is from RNAcentral. Lineage: Eukaryota; Viridiplantae; Streptophyta; Magnoliopsida; Brassicales; Brassicaceae.